AAGUCGUAACAAGGUUUCCGUAGGUGAACCUGCGGAAGGAUCAUUAACAACAUAUCCUAACUUAAAAACCCUGUGAACUUUCAACCCCAAACUGCUUGAUCCCAGUACCUCAGCAAUCUCUGGUAAAUCAUAGUGAACAGCUUUGAUUCGGAGACCUCUGAAUAACCUUGGGCGGUCGCGGUUGGUAAGGCAAGUGACCCGGUACCCUCAAGACCAGUGUUCAAUGAUCUGUCAGUGUUCAUUGACUGGAAUCAAACGUUCUGUCAGUGUGCGUUUGAUUUGCAAGGGUGGCGCAGUAAACGAUCGCUGGAGGCCGACACGGCCGGCGACUGGGUCUGUUACUACUUACAAGAUUUCCCAAUUAGUGAAAGCUAUUGGGCUAUAACUAAACGACUGUUAACAAUGGAUAUCUCGAUUCUC
This 420-nucleotide unclassified non-coding RNA is filed under the name fungal sp. Its description in RNAcentral is "partial internal transcribed spacer region". The stretch from base 1 to 46 matches the Rfam family "Eukaryotic small subunit ribosomal RNA", at positions 1786 to 1831 of the family's 1831-position model. The record is from RNAcentral. Lineage: Eukaryota; Fungi.